RNAcentral lists this ribosomal RNA (873 nucleotides) under uncultured bacterium. Its description in RNAcentral is "bacterial SSU rRNA". It matches the Rfam family "Bacterial small subunit ribosomal RNA", at positions 8 to 882 of the family's 1533-position model. The record is from RNAcentral.
AGAGUUUGAUCAUGGCUCAGGAUGAACGCUAGCGGCAGGCCUAAUACAUGCAAGUCGAGGGGCAGCGGGGUAGCAAUACUGCCGGCGACCGGCGCACGGGUGCGUAACACGUAUGCAACCUACCUUAAACUGGGAGAUAGCCCGGGGAAACUCGGAUUAAUACCCCGUAAUACAUUUGGAACACAUGUUUUGAUUGUUAAAGAUUUAUCGGUUUAAGAUGGGCAUGCGUUCGAUUAGCUAGUUGGUGAGGUAAUGGCUCACCAAGGCUACGAUCGAUAGGGGGUCUGAGAGGAUGAUCCCCCACACUGGUACUGAGAUACGGACCAGACUCCUACGGGAGGCAGCAGUAGGGAAUAUUGGUCAAUGGAGGCAACUCUGAACCAGCCAUGCCGCGUGUAGGAAGAAGGCGUUCUGCGUUGUAAACUACUUUUGAUUGGGAACAAAUGACUCUUGCGAGAGUAGCUGAGUGUACCAAUAGAAUAAGCCACGGCUAACUACGUGCCAGCAGCCGCGGUAAUACGUAGGUGGCAAGCGUUGUCCGGAUUUAUUGGGUUUAAAGGGUGCGUAGGCGGCUUAAUAAGUCAGUGGUGAAAGCCGAUCGCUUAACGAUCGAACUGCCAUUGAUACUGCUAGGCUUGAGUAUAGUUGAGGUAGGCGGAAUUGACAGUGUAGCGGUGAAAUGCAUAGAUAUUGUCAAGAACACCAAUUGCGAAGGCAGCUUACUAAAGUAUAACUGACGCUGAGGCACGAAAGUGCGGGGAUCAAACAGGAUUAGAUACCCUGGUAGUCCGCACCGUAAACGAUGAUCACUCGCUGUGUGCGAUAAACAGUACGCGGCCCAGCGAAAGCGAUAAGUGAUCCACCUGGGGAGUA